This is a non-coding RNA of Struthio camelus australis, 2537 nucleotides long. Lineage: Eukaryota; Metazoa; Chordata; Aves; Struthioniformes; Struthionidae. The record is from RefSeq and is a predicted model, not a curated record.
CCCCCCCGAAGUGACCUAACACCGUCAUUUCUUUCCGCAGUCAAAUCAGGACCGUUCCGAGCUCUGCUGGGCCUCACCUCAGCUUUCCUUCCGCAGCCGCGUUUCUAACCUGCGAGGGGGAAGCCUUGCAGCGGGGCUGAGCGCACAUCACGUUCGCCUGCAGGCCGGCUUCUGGGGAGCGUCCCUUCGGAGAGGGCCCGCUCGCUCGUUCGGCUUCGCGCCCCGCUCCAGAGGAACACCAGCUUCAGGAGUAACAUCGACAGGCUGGAGAGGUGCAGCACAGGCAAUCAGACUAGGAAACCUCCUGAACUUUACAGAACACAAUUGAAAUAAGAACAGGAAAACCAUACAAGAGCGUGCAUUUGCUUAAGUGCCAGAUUUCCUACAAUAAGGGGGGGGGAGGGUUUGUUUGUUUUGUUUUUUGGUAAAAUCAGCCAUAUUCACAUCAACCAAUAAAGUACCAAUAGAAACAAAACAAAAAAGGAUAGGUGGGGACUGCCACCUGCAUCUUUACAUUUGAGUACCUACAUAAAACAUCUGUGAUCUCAGGAUUUACAGAUUUCUUUUACCAGCUCGUACCAUCACCACAAAGUUAUUUCAGAAUUAUUUUUAACACUUUACAACAUGUUUCAGAAAUGGAAGCCUUAGAAAAACAAAGCUCUCCCUUUAUUUAUAUUGCACCUUUUUCACAGAUAGCUACACAGCAGAAAUUCUUUCUGCUGCAAAAUGCUACAUCAGAAAAAAUGUGGCUUAGAACACAUUAGAAAGAAAAGGUCUUGAGUUUCAGGUAUCAGCAUGAGCUGACCCAAAAUCACCAACACCAGCUUUACAAAUCACCGCACUCCUAAGUAUUGCCUCCAUUUUAUUUAGUAUUUAGGUAUUUCAGAAAAAUGAGCUUUUUACCAAAUGAAAAAGAUGCUCUAAUCACUAUUGGGUACUACAAUUGAGUCUGAAGGGGAACUAUUUUCAAGAGAUCUUCAAAGAGCACCAAAUACUCUUAAGAGCUAUGGACAAAAAACCCACACGUAGUGGGGAGAAACUGGUUUCUUUCACACUGGUAUCUCUAGAACCACCCAGGACUGUUUUGGGAAGAAUUGUCCAGUUUUGUGAUGUAUUUACACGUACAUUAUAAAUGCACAAUGGAAAUCAAAACAUUUCUAAGGAUACCAGUGAUAGUGUCCUAACACUAAUUAUGGCAUCCAAAUCACGCUAGUUCUAGUCUUAAGUAAACAUCGGGUAAUGUAUCACACCCAUACAGCAAAACAAUAAUCUGAUUUCUCCCAAGUGGCCAUUACCACUAAUGUAUGGCACUCCCGAAAUGUCCUGCAAGUAAAAAAAAAAAAAACAAAAAACCAAACCCCUUCACUUUGAUUUAAUAACAGGGUCAUUAUACACGAUUGUCUAGAUAUGCCCUUUUUAUUCCAGUGUUUCCAUACUUUCUACAGACCUAUGUACACAGUUAAAUACGUCAUUAAUUUACAAACCAUGUUAAAACAAAUGUUUCACUUUGCCAAACAAGAUCUUGCAGGUGUCCAAGAUCAAAAUAUAUAUUACAAGAAUAUCAGAAACUUCCUUUACCUGAAUGUGGGCAAUAUUGCUUAAGGACUUAGAUUCAGGUAUUCAGCAAAACCACCCAUUGUAACUGAUUCGCUUAACCGUUUUAAUUAUGUAUUCUAUUGUACAAAGUUAUCCCCAUUGACCACAGACCUGAACUAGAAGAGCACGAAUGUGGUCAGGCAGUCUCUGGGGAAGAAGCCCAGGCCUCACUCUCUGGGUCCUAAAUGGGAUAUCCUAUUUUGAGUCAGUCCCCUUCUGCUCUGCGCUAAGGACAACAGCUUUUGUUUUGGAGAUACGGUGAGGCUACGAGCCCAAACUGCACCGGAGCAAGGCAUUUUCAACAGAAAGCCCUCACCUGCUGCUGUACUCUUGACAGAAGAAGCGGAGUCAAAGACCUGCCACGGUUAAGCGUGCAGUGCCAGCUUUCUCAGAAAGGAGUCACAACAAGAUCAGGCUCCGUCCCUUGGAAAAUUAGCCAUCUAUAUAUAUUUAACCAAGCCUCUGCUCUGUGAAUAAGGUGCGUGGAGCUUUAUUCACCUUCUAAGGAAAAGCUCAAGUUGUACACAGCUGUUACAGUGGUAAACAUACCAGAAAAAGUUCAGAUUAAGUCAUAGUACUUCUGCAAAUCCCUAUGGCCCCCACUGCUACUGUUUACUGGUAUUUCACCCACUUUGAGGUAGGGAAGAAUCACCCUCCCACCCCCAUUUCCCAAACAGGAAACUGAGGCACAAACAACAAGAUCAAGCAUUUGCAGGAGUCUAACAGGUUACACCUAGCUCCCUUUGAAAGCAGUUGGACACCUUACUUCAGCCCCUCUUAAAAAAAAUCAGCCUAAAUGUCUCAGCCUAAAGUCAAAAGUCUUUUGCAGAGCCAGAAUCUAGUCCAAAUCCCGAGUCCACAAGAUCCUUUUUACAUUUAUGCAACAGCACUUAAGUAUUGGGAAGCAAGCCUUAGAAAUACAAAUUUUGCGCCUUCCCACA